UGCCAGCAGCCGCGGUAAGACGGAGGGUGCUAGCGUUGUUCGGAAUGACUGGGCGUAAAGGGCGCGUAGGCGGUUUUGUUAGUCAGGCGUGAAAGCCCCGGGCUCAACCCGGGAACUGUGUUUGAUACUGCAAGACUUGAGGACGGAAGAGGAAAGUGGAAUUCCUAGUGUAGAGGUGAAAUUCGUAGAUAUUAGGAGGAACACCAGAGGCGAAGGCGGCUUUCUGGUCCAAUACUGACGCUGAGAUGCGAAAGCGUGGGGAGCGAACAGGAUUAGAUA
This 279-nucleotide ribosomal RNA is filed under the name uncultured bacterium. RNAcentral's name for it is "partial 16S ribosomal RNA". It matches the Rfam family "Bacterial small subunit ribosomal RNA", at positions 506 to 784 of the family's 1533-position model. The record is from RNAcentral.